AAACGUUUUCCUCCAAAAUAAAAUGAAUUCAAUAUUAUUCUUUCAAAACUAAUGAAGAACCAGAGACAUUAUCCUCCAAAAUCAAAUGAAUUCAAUGUUAUUCGUUCCAAAAUUUUAGGAAACAGAAAAUAUUUUUGUCCUUGAAUUUCUAAGGAGCGAAGCCAAAUUUCGUUCAAUCAACGAAGGUUUUCCAACAAAAUAUUCUACAGAAUUUUCCCUACUCCAGGUAUGUCAAGGUCCUCCCUUCUUUCUUUUGGCAUGGUCCAAAUUAUACUGAAGAAACGAGCAAAUACACAGUUUUUACAAAUUACUCUAUUCGAAGAAAUAGUAGGGGUCUCUAUAUUCUUGAUUCCCUAUGAGAAUUAUUAUUAUCUUCUAUUCAUGGGUGUCAGAAUAAUACACAGUUGGAAAAGUUUAUCCGGAAGGAAUAUUGAGAUUAUUACGUAUUUUUCAUGCAUUUCACUUAUUAUACAUGUGCAUUGACCCAUGACCAGAUGGCAUUAUGUAUGUGUAUAUAUAUGUAAAUAUAUGUAUAUGAGAUAUGGGAAAAGGUUAUGGUGUUAUAUACGCACCACCACCUGAUCAGCUAGUAUAUGUUGAUGAUGUUGCCCAUAGUGACCGACACGAUAUGAUGGGAUGCCCUCAGUGGCUUGAUGAUAUUAUGUACACCCAUACCUAUGUAUGGCACGAUAUUUAUACGCACGUGCAUGACAUUAUAAACGUUUCAGAAUUUUUAAAGUUAUUCAGAUUUAAAGAUGUGUUUCUAUAUUCCAUAUUUCAUCUAUGUUUUUUACGUACUAAUUUUCAUGUUUUACAUACUCAGUACAUUUUUUCGUACUGACGCCCUAUUUCACGGGGCCUGUGUUUCAUGCCCGCAGGUGCAGAUAGG
RNAcentral lists this long non-coding RNA (889 nucleotides) under Nicotiana tabacum (common tobacco). RNAcentral describes it as "long non-coding RNA (NTAB_LNC019441)". The record is from RNAcentral. Lineage: Eukaryota; Viridiplantae; Streptophyta; Magnoliopsida; Solanales; Solanaceae.